UCGGCAUGCAGUCGAGCGGAACGAGUUAUCAUGAACCUUCGGGGAACGAUAACGGCGUCGAGCGGCGGACGGGUGAGUAAUGCCUAGGAAAUUGCCCUGAUGUGGGGGAUAACCAUUGGAAACGAUGGCUAAUACCGCAUGAUGCCUACGGGCCAAAGAGGGGGACCUUCGGGCCUCUCGCGUCAGGAUAUGCCUAGGUGGGAUUAGCUAGUUGGUGAGGUAAGGGCUCACCAAGGCGACGAUCCCUAGCUGGUCUGAGAGGAUGAUCAGCCACACUGGAACUGAGACACGGUCCAGACUCCUACGGGAGGCAGCAGUGGGGAAUAUUGCACAAUGGGCGCAAGCCUGAUGCAGCCAUGCCGCGUGUGUGAAGAAGGCCUUCGGGUUGUAAAGCACUUUCAGUCGUGAGGAAGGUGGUGGUGUUAAUAGCUGUAUUAUUUGACGUUAGCGACAUAAGAAGCACCGGCUAACUCCGUGCCAGCAGCCGCGGUAAUACGGAGGGUGCGAGCGUUAAUCGGAAUUACUGGGCGUAAAGCGCAUGCAGGUGGUUUGUUAAGUCAGAUGUGAAAGCCCGGGGCUCAACCUCGGAAUUGCAUUUGAAACUGGCAGACUAGAGUACUGUAGAGGGGGGGG
Molecule: ribosomal RNA, 633 nt
Filed under: Vibrio owensii
Lineage: Bacteria; Pseudomonadati; Pseudomonadota; Gammaproteobacteria; Vibrionales; Vibrionaceae
Description: bacterial SSU rRNA
Rfam family: Bacterial small subunit ribosomal RNA
Source: RNAcentral